This 71-nucleotide transfer RNA is filed under the name Fukomys damarensis (Damara mole-rat). It matches the Rfam family "tRNA". Rfam says of the family: Transfer RNA (tRNA) molecules are approximately 80 nucleotides in length. Their secondary structure includes four short double-helical elements and three loops (D, anti-codon, and T loops). Lineage: Eukaryota; Metazoa; Chordata; Mammalia; Rodentia; Bathyergidae. The record is from Rfam by way of RNAcentral.
GGGGUUGUAGCUCAGUGCUAGAGUACUCUCCUAGUUCGAAGAGGCUCUGGAUUCAAUUCUCAGCAUCCCCU